Molecule: ribosomal RNA, 172 nt
Filed under: Steinernema rarum
Lineage: Eukaryota; Metazoa; Nematoda; Chromadorea; Rhabditida; Steinernematidae
Description: partial 18S ribosomal RNA
Rfam family: Eukaryotic small subunit ribosomal RNA
Source: RNAcentral
GUACACACCGCCCGUCGCUGCCCGGGACUGAAUUGUUUCGAGAAAAGCGGGGACUGCUGAUUUGAGAGCUUUCGGGCUUAAAUUUUGGCGAGAACCGCCUUAAUCGAAACGGUUUGAACCGGGCAAAAGUCGUAACAAGGUUUCCGUAGGUGAACCUGCGGAAGGAUCAUUA